Molecule: ribosomal RNA, 584 nt
Filed under: uncultured Burkholderia sp.
Lineage: Bacteria; Pseudomonadati; Pseudomonadota; Betaproteobacteria; Burkholderiales; Burkholderiaceae
Description: bacterial SSU rRNA
Rfam family: Bacterial small subunit ribosomal RNA
Source: RNAcentral
GAGUUUGAUCCUGGCUCAGAUUGAACGCUGGCGGCAUGCCUUACACAUGCAAGUCGAACGGCAGCACGGGUGCUUGCACCUGGUGGCGAGUGGCGAACGGGUGAGUAAUACAUCGGAACAUGUCCUGUAGUGGGGGAUAGCCCGGCGAAAGCCGGAUUAAUACCGCAUACGAUCUGAGGAUGAAAGCGGGGGACCUUCGGGCCUCGCGCUAUAGGGUUGGCCGAUGGCUGAUUAGCUAGUUGGUGGGGUAAAGGCCUACCAAGGCGACGAUCAGUAGCUGGUCUGAGAGGACGACCAGCCACACUGGGACUGAGACACGGCCCAGACUCCUACGGGAGGCAGCAGUGGGGAAUUUUGGACAAUGGGCGAAAGCCUGAUCCAGCAAUGCCGCGUGUGUGAAGAAGGCCUUCGGGUUGUAAAGCACUUUUGUCCGGAAAGAAAUCCUUGGUUCUAAUAUAGCCGGGGGAUGACGGUACCGGAAGAAUAAGCACCGGCUAACUACGUGCCAGCAGCCGCGGUAAUACGUAGGGUGCAAGCGUUAAUCGNAAUUACUGGGCGUAAAGCGUGCGCAGGCGGUUUGCUAA